AACACAUGCAAGUCGAACGAAGUAGCAAUACUUAGUGGCAGACGGGUGAGUAACACGUAGUCAACCUGCCUCUCAAUGGGGGAUAACUAGCCGAAAGGUUAGCUAAUACCGCAUACGAUCACCGAGUGGCAUCACACGGUGAUGAAAGGAGUAAUCCGUUGAGAGAGGGACUGCGUCCCAUUAGUUAGUUGGUGGGGUAAUGGCCUACCAAGACUCCGAUGGGUAGCUGGCUUGAGAGAGCGACCAGCCACACUGGAACUGAGACACGGUCCAGACUCCUACGGGAGGCAGCAGUGAGGAAUUUUCCGCAAUGGGGGAAACCCUGACGGAGCGACGCCGCGUGUGGGAAGAAGGCCUUCGGGUCGUAAAGCACUGUCGAGGGGGACGAUAUUGACGGUACCCCUGGAGGAAG
Molecule: ribosomal RNA, 412 nt
Filed under: grassland soil clone saf1_116
Lineage: Bacteria
Description: bacterial SSU rRNA
Rfam family: Bacterial small subunit ribosomal RNA
Source: RNAcentral